This is a long non-coding RNA of Nannospalax galili (Upper Galilee mountains blind mole rat), 820 nucleotides long. Lineage: Eukaryota; Metazoa; Chordata; Mammalia; Rodentia; Spalacidae. The record is from Ensembl.
AGGGAGGAGCUGGGGGGCUGAGGGAGGAGCUAAAGGAGGAGCUGAGGGGGCUGCUGGGCGGGCGCUGAGGAGGGGGGAGCUGGGGGCCGCAGAGAGGAGAGCUGAGAUGGCAGCUGAAGGAGGCGCUGAAGAGGCAGCUGAGAGGGCAUCUUGAGGGAGGAGCUGAGGGAGAUGGGCUAGGUGCGGGGCUCGCAGGGCUCAGCAGCCGGAGCGCCGCCGCCGCCGCCGCCGCCGCCGCCCCAACCCCGCACUCAGAGCAGCCUCGGCGGCACUCCAGAAUCCUGACUAGGCGGCCGCGCGACGUGAUGACGUGUUGCAGCUCGAGGACCUCCCCUGUCCGAGCAAACGUCACGUCAGGAGGCGGCACCGAGCGGCCAGGGUUACCUGAGUUGCUCACCCUGGUGCUGCUCGAGAAAACCGAAAAGAACCAGCAGGAUUCGCCCCUCGGAGAAGACCCGCCUUCCUGCUGCGGAGAGAACCUUUCUGCCGGGUGUCCCAGCCCUAAGUGAGAGGAUUUUUACUUCUGUGAUCCAAAGACCGGUGGAAGGAACUUGUGGGACGGCCAGAGGUUGGACACAGUGAGGAAACUGCAAAGGCUUCUCCUAAAGCGCUUCCACCGACCACCAGGCCCUGUGCUGAGGGUUUAGGAAUUUUGCUUCUCACUGAUUUGGGUUCGCUUAGGGACAGAAGAAAAAGAUGUUCCUUGGCCCAGCUUACAUGAAUGACCAAUGUGAUUAUUCAGUCUUUCUCUGUGAGACUUUUGAUUCCUGAGGAUAAUAAAAUAUAGUCAAAUGGGCAGCUUUCUAAUUUUAUGUAGCGU